GUGUCUGUGUCCGCCGUCUGUGCGUGUCAGGUGCACAUGGUUGCUUUCGGGGGGCCAGUUCAUCAGGCCCGCUCUGCCUGUCAGCCCCCUCUUCCUUUGAGACCACACGGCUGCCCUGCCCCCUCCGCACAGAUACACCCAUGGGGUGACGGCCACAGGGAGCUUCAGGGGACGCAUGCGCCCCAGGGAGCCACCCAAAGACACAGUGUUCACAACGGGGUUUCCAAUAAUGUUUUAAAUAGCCACACUUGUUUUGUUUGCUUUCUUCCAGGAAGGCUGCACUGUUCUGGAAAAGGAGGGGGAGGCAAGAAAAAUGUGAGUUCAUUUCCUGAGUCUUUUAAAUCUUUCUCCGUAGACGGAGCACUGAGGAGCCGUGGCCGGAGGGCAGAGCGGCCUCAGGCUCGCAGCACACAUGGAAGGAGGUUCGGAACUUGUCCCCGCCGUGUGCUCUUUCCAGGCCAUUGCAGGACGCUGGAUUUAGCGAUGAGACCGCACUGAAGGAUCCGGAUGCACGUGGGCUCUCCACCUCCCUCCCAAGAAAAUGGUUUGAAGGCCGGCUGCUUUCACAAUGGGUUUUUCCCGUUUGCCCAGGCAAGGUUGGACUGUGAAAUCAGUUCAUCCGAAAGAGAGGGCAGAAAAUGGAUCCGAUGCCGGAUUACCGGGGACACGGGAGAGUUUGGAAGGAGCCAACGCUUGUCAGAGUGUCUUUCCACACACAUUAUUUUACCCACUUCUCAGAGCAACCCCGUGAAGCACAUGGCGGUGUGCCCGUUCCACAGGCGACGCUCUGGGGGUGAAGCGGCAAAUCCAAGGGCACCUCACCUCCCCUGCAGACAAAUCGUCUUUCCUGUCGUGAGCUACCUCGCCAAUCUGUCCCUCCCCUUCGUGGCUGCAGUCAGCAUCUUACGCCAAAGUUCUUCGUGGGAUGGGCUGGCCCACAUCCAUCUGCCUGUCUCCCCAGCCAGGAUGAAGACACCAUGAAGAUGGGGACUUUCCUUGCUCACAGAUGUGUGUGGUGGCCCGUCACGACCUUGAGCACAGUAGCUCUGUAGUAUGUAUCUGUCCUACGAAGGAAGGACUAAAUGAACGAAAGAGUCCCGCCCCCGAAGGAGGAAAGGGGGUCCAAAUCAGAAGCAUGGCGAUCUCUGGCGGGCCAGCUGAGAUGCUACAAGGGUCAUUCUGAAGCCAGUGGCACAGGAUGCCCCAAGCUGAGCAAACCAUGACCUGGAGGGCCCAGCUGUCAGGCAGUGGAGUGGCCUUUGCACCUGGCAUCCGGGCACCGCGGGCCCAUGCACAGCACAUGCGGCCAGAGCACCCUUUAGACAGAUGCACCCUCAGGAACCGAGAGAGCCCUGCUUUUCCCUGGAAGUGGCCUGGCAAGUCAGGGGCAGGGUCUGGCAUCAGACCUGUCAGUCCUUCCCAGAAAUUCCGAGCGGCCCAUGGAUUAAAGCGAGGACCAGCUUUUGGAACAACGGUCCCCGUUCUGGUUUUGCCUCACAGAGAUGAUGCCUGGCCUCACAGUUUGGGAGCCUGGCCCCUGAGUAAGUCUCCCUAAUCCUCACUGUGUCUUCCCCCUGCUCUCCUCUGAGACCCCAAGGUGGCUUCAGUGGACGGUCAGACAGAGGAAAGUGCAGCAGACGGAAGGCCGCACAGAAGACAGGCCUGGAAAGAGGAGGCUCCCCCACCCCCGGCGGUCGUGCCUCCCUGCAGGCUGAUUUUGCUCUGACAGCCUUGUGGGUGUUUGUCUUUGAUCUUGGUUGUCAGCACAAGCAUGUGUAAGUGCUGACUGUGCCUGGCCUUGCCUUCAACACCACAACUGCUGGGGACACCCAGGGCCCUGCCCUCAGAAGGUGCCCAGUCCCAAACGACGCCAGGCAGCAAACCAAGCCCCCCACCCCCCGCCCCCAGAGCCCAGAGGCACGAUCCAGGCUGCCUGCCACUCAGGGUCCGCUGCCCCUCUGGGCAGAUGUGAAGAAGCUAGGCGCUCCCAGCCUCAAAGGGCUAAUUCCUCCCUUUUGGACUCUUAGUUUCUGGUUCUGCUGGGUCACGGUUUAUGAGGAAGUAGAUCCCGUCAUCUCUAGGACAGCAAAUGGGGGACUUGUAACAAAUCACCCGUAACGAGACCACAUUCUGUUCCGGGUCACACAGAGUAAACAUUAGAAACCAGACUCGGCACAUCUACUUUCUUCUGAUAGGUGGCCCUUUGGAGCUGUGGCAAAAAUGACCACUCUGGGGCCCAGAGGGCCAGGACCGCCUGCGGGCACAGUGUGUAAUGCACAGCAGAGGAGACCUGGGGACACCGGCACUCACUCCUGGACCGUGCCUUCCACGACAACUUCCCUCCAAAAGGCCAUUUGGCUACAACGUAUCAUAUGACUUGUUCUUAGAGUUACAUUUUAACUGACAAAGUUUAACAACAACUAUGACUUAUGGCCUUCUAAAAUUGGCAGCAGAAAAAUGAACUGAGGAAGUAAUGGAAAAAAACCACAAGUGAAGCCACUCUGUAUUAUGCACAAUUUCUGUUGUGCUUUUUUUUCCCUUCCCAAGCAUGUGUGUGUGUGUGUGUGUGUGUGUGAGUGCGUGCGCGCGUGUGUGUGCGUGCAUGCGCAUGCCCAUGUGUGUGUCUGUGUGUGUGUUUUCGAAGGGUAGCAAAUAUUUUCCAGAUACACUGUCCUGGCGUUCCCAAGCACAUAUUUAUGCCAAGUUUAUAAAAAGCAGCUGCAGACAGGGUUGACUGAAAGGAUUGCUCUGCUGUCUGGCUUCCAGAAGGUGCUUCGGUUCUUACUCUGUCACCAGGGCAGCCUUACCUCCCAAAACUCUCUGACCCGCGCUGCGCGUCUGGAAGAGGACAAACCGGCGGCACAGAGUGACCUGGACGAGCGCUCGCCCCUGGCUCUUCUGACCUUCCGCAUCACGCAUCUGGUCCACAAGUAUUGUGGUGACUUUUCAGAUACCUGUCCAGACCAUGACUCUCAGAACUGGUGGCCAUGCCGGCAGAGUUAAGGCCCCAACAUGGUGUUUAUACUUCAUGACCCCAGACCCAGACUACAGUUGAGUACACAAGAGAUGGACAGCUGCCCAGAAACAGAGUGCUAGCAGGGGAGGAGCAAAGAGGGAGACACAGAAUCCGAAGCAGUGUCCAGGCUCUGAGCUGUCAGCACAGAGCCUGACACGGGGCUCGAACUCACGAACCAUGAGAUCAUGACUGGAGACGAAGUUGAAUGCUUAUCUGACCAAACCACCCAGGCGCCCCAGCCCCUGCGGACAAGACCAUCUAAACACUUCUUCCCAGAUCUGAGAAACAAUAAGAUCACCCAACCCAGUGCAACAAACCUCAUCUCCCAGAGCCACAUUCUGUUUUUGAAAAUAAAGGGAAGUUUCUAAACAGACCAUGUUACCUUAUGAAUUAAAAUGUUUAAUAGACUAGCCAUAUAAUGGAUCAGUAAAUAUUCACAUUACUAUCAUUUCUAUUACUGGUGUGUUCAAAACUUAUUUACAAAUCAAUCAUACUUUCUUGUUGCUAUAAAUUUUAACUUCAAAAACAUUUUCUUGUUCGUAUCUACUUGGACCUCAUUUAUCAAUAAUACUUUUUUUUUUA
Molecule: long non-coding RNA, 3598 nt
Organism: Acinonyx jubatus (cheetah)
Lineage: Eukaryota; Metazoa; Chordata; Mammalia; Carnivora; Felidae
Exons: 3
Source: RefSeq, a predicted model, not a curated record